GACGAACGCUGGCGGCGUACUUAACACAUGCAAGUCGAACGGAAAGGCCCUGCUUUUGUGGGGUGCUCGAGUGGCGAACGGGUGAGUAACACGUGAGUAACCUGCCCUUGACUUUGGGAUAACUUCAGGAAACUGGGGCUAAUACCGGAUAGGAGCUCCUGCUGCAUGGUGGGGGUUGGAAAGUUUCGGCGGUUGGGGAUGGACUCGCGGCUUAUCAGCUUGUUGGUGGGGUAGUGGCUUACCAAGGCUUUGACGGGUAGCCGGCCUGAGAGGGUGACCGGCCACAUUGGGACUGAGAUACGGCCCAGACUCCUACGGGAGGCAGCAGUGGGGAAUAUUGCACAAUGGGCGGAAGCCUGAUGCAGCAACGCCGCGUGCGGGAUGACGGCCUUCGGGUUGUAAACCGCUUUCGCCUGUGACGAAGCGUGAGUGACGGUAAUGAGUAAAGAAGCACCGGCUAACUACGUG
RNAcentral lists this ribosomal RNA (468 nucleotides) under uncultured bacterium. RNAcentral describes it as "partial 16S ribosomal RNA". It matches the Rfam family "Bacterial small subunit ribosomal RNA", at positions 28 to 507 of the family's 1533-position model. The record is from RNAcentral.